GUGCCAGCAGCCGCGGUAAUACGUAGGGUGCAGGCGUUAAUCGGAAUUACUGGGCGUAAAGCGUGCGCAGGCGGUCUAUUAAGACAGGUGUGAAAUCCCCGGGCUUAACCUGGGAACUGCGCUUGUAACUGAUAGGCUUGAGUGUGGCAGAGGGGGGUGGAAUUCCAGGUGUAGCAGUGAAAUGCGUAGAUAUCUGGAGGAACACCGAUGGCGAAGGCAGCCCCCUGGGCUAACACUGACGCUCAUGCACGAAAGCGUGGGGAGCAAACAGGAUUAGAUACCCCAGUAGUCC
This 292-nucleotide ribosomal RNA is filed under the name uncultured bacterium. Its description in RNAcentral is "partial 16S ribosomal RNA". It matches the Rfam family "Bacterial small subunit ribosomal RNA", at positions 505 to 796 of the family's 1533-position model. The record is from RNAcentral.